UUGGGUAUAUAUCAAUGGUAGAUUAUCAACCUUCCAAGUUGAAAGUUACGAGUUCAAAUCUCGUUACCCACU
Molecule: transfer RNA, 72 nt
Filed under: Phaeocystis rex
Lineage: Eukaryota; Haptophyta; Phaeocystales; Phaeocystaceae
Description: tRNA-Gly
Rfam family: tRNA
About the family: Transfer RNA (tRNA) molecules are approximately 80 nucleotides in length.
Source: RNAcentral